This 423-nucleotide ribosomal RNA is filed under the name uncultured bacterium. RNAcentral's name for it is "partial 16S ribosomal RNA". It matches the Rfam family "Bacterial small subunit ribosomal RNA", at positions 359 to 775 of the family's 1533-position model. The record is from RNAcentral.
AAAGUUUGACAAUGGGCGAAAGCCUGAUCCAGCCAUGCCGCGUGCAUGAGGAAGGCCUNCGGGUGNGNAACUGCUCUUGUUCGGCNAGGAAAGCUUUGGGUUAAUCCCCUGGAGUCAUGACGGCACCGUACGAACAAGCACCGGCUGACUACGUGCCAGCAGCCGCGGUAAUACGGAGGGUGCAACCGUUAGUCGGAAUUACUGGGCGUAAAGCGUGCGCAGGCGGGUUUGUAAGACAGGGGGUAAAUCCCCGGGCUCAACCCGGGGACUGCCUUUGUAACUUCAAGGCUAGAGUACGGCAGAGGGUGGUGGAAUUCCGGGUGUAGGAGUGAAAUGCGUAGAUAUGCGGAGGAACACCGAUGGCGAAGGCAACCCCCUGGGCCUGUACUGACGCUCAUGCACGAAAGCGUGGGGAGCAAACAG